Molecule: ribosomal RNA, 468 nt
Filed under: uncultured bacterium
Lineage: Bacteria
Description: partial 16S ribosomal RNA
Rfam family: Bacterial small subunit ribosomal RNA
Source: RNAcentral
GACGAACGCUGGCGGCGUGCUUAACACAUGCAAGUCGAACGGAAAGGCCCUGCUUUGGUGUGGUGCUCGAGUGGCGAACGGGUGAGUAACGCGUGAGUAACCUGCCCUUUACUUUGGGAUAACUACAGGAAACGGUAGCUAAUACCGGAUAGGAGUUCCUGCUGCAUGGUGGUGGUUGGAAAGUUUCGGCGGUUGGGGAUGGAGGCGCGGCUGAGGAGUUUGUGGGUGGGGGAGUGGCUUACCAAGGCUUUGACGGCUAGCCGGCCUGAGAGGGUGAUCGGCCCCAUUGGGCCGGAGGACGGGCCCAGACUCCACCGGGGGGAAGAAGUGGGGAAUAUUGCAAAAUGGGCGGAAGCCUGAUGCAGAAACGCCGGGUCCGGGAUGCCGGCUUUCGGGUUGUAACCCGCUUUAGCCUGUGACGAAGCGUGAGUGACGGUAAUGGGUAAAGAAGCACCGGCUAACUACGUG